GUGACUGAGGAAGAUCUUUCUGAUAAAUAUUAACCUUUAUAAGUGUGGCCAAACAGCCUGGCAUGUGAGUCCUGCUGGGCUUUCAGGAACUAGGCUUUGCUGAAAAACCCAGGAUGGGUACUGCACAGAGAGCCCUCUCAAACCACCUGUGGCUUCAUCACAAGGUAUUUCACCUUUUCAGCUAAUUAACAUUAAGAGGAUGAAAAUCCCUUUUGGUUUCCCCUGAAGUUUCCAAAGCACAGAGAGAGAAGAGGAAGAGUUGGCAGCGUGAGCUUUUUCCUGAUGGUUUAAGACUCUUUCCUCAUAAACUGUGGCAGAGGAGAGCACAUAGUAAGAUCUAAAAGUAGAUGCAGUGAUAUCCCAGGAUGACUCAGAUAUUUAGUACAUAGAAGAUAAUUUUCCAAAUGCUACAAGCACUAUAUAAAAAGCCAAGCCCGUGCUGCUCUCCACGUCAGGAUUCCCCCUGCUGUUAGAUGCUUAAACCCAGAUAAAAUCCCACAAAACCACUGGCUGGUUUAAAGUGCUGAGGUGGGUUAGGUCAUUGCCAUGGGCUCCUUGGCCACCUGUAACCACAGCCAGGUGUGGCAAUGACUCAGGCUGGUGGUGGUGAUGCCUCAAACCCUGGAGGAUUGGCAGCAGGAGCUGACAUGCUCCCAACCUGCUCGGUGCAGGAGCAGUUGGGACAUGUCUCUCCUCAUCCCAGGAGAGCUGGGCCAGCUGUAAAGCUUGGGAUGAGGUCAGGGAAUUACUAACGUGAAUGGAAGGAGUCAGAGGGAGUUUUUCUGGUGAGUUCACACAUAGCUGGCUCAUGCCAGGGGUGGAGAUCCAGGAUUGAUAGAGGAAACAAAGCAGGGGAAAUUCUGAGGUGUGCAGAGAGCUGUGAGGGGAUGAAACCAGGGCAAGUGCACAAUUCAUCUUGUUGAUACAGCCUGCAGCCCUCUUGGCCUGAGGCUGCCAACUUGUCACGCACAAGACAGGUAAAUUCAAUCUUCUGCCUGCAAAUUUUGCCACCCUCCCAUGUUGUUCAGUAGCUGACAAAGGGCUGAGACCUCCAGGCUCUGUGGGAGUGUGCUCAGGGACUGCUAAUGCACACACAACUUGUUUGCAUUCUCCCAUCAUUAUCCAGAGGUGCAAAUUUUAUCUUAUUUUGAAGCACACUUCUGUUUUCCUCCUGAUGGUAACAUUUUCCUUUCCGGCUGUAAAUCUGUGUGAUGUGUCCAGGCUGUCCCUGCUGGGACUCAUCCCUCACAGCAGUCACUCAACAGAGGGACCAAAUUUCCUGGUGCCAGGGCCAGAGGGGGACAGUGCCAGCCCUGUUGGAGAAGCAGAGGUGAGCCUGAGGAAGUCAAUCCUGCCCUAGAGCAGAAGCAGAGGGGGCUGAGAUGUGCAGGGCAGAGAACAGAGAUGUUGGGACAUCUUUUCCCACAGGGUCUCACCUGAUUCCCUGCCCUCAUUUCUACCCCUCCUCAAUUUAUAAUUUUUAUUCCUUUCUGUGUUCAAGGAGCUUCCUAAGAAUGGAAAGUCUACAAAAGCAAGAGAAGGCACAGCAGGUGACCUGUCCCAGAUGGAGCCAGGGGGACACAGGGGAACUGAGGAGCCCCAGGAUGAGUUGGUGUCACUUUGGCCAGGAUCUGUUCCCAGACUCAGGAUCCAGUCCCUGACUCUGCUGGUGGUGGAGAAAAUCCUGUCAAAUCCAGGUCCUGAACUUCUGUGAGUCUGCCAGGAGGCUGCUGGGAACAACAACACAAAUCAAAACCCCCCAGUAAAUCAGUGGAUUACCUUCCCCACAUAAAUCACAGCGUCACCACAAAAAUCUUACAGUUACAACAAAAGCAAACCUGCUCAACUAAAGUCUGGACUUGCACCUCCCUGAGCACUCAGUGUUCAUUUUUCCCUCAGAAGCCUUGGACAAGCAAUUUAAGCACUUCAGCUGGCCACCAGCUCACCUUCCCUCCUCUCUGCAAAGACAUUUGGGACCUUCAACAAGUCUCAAAUAUGUGUUUGGAACCUUCAGUCAGGCCCACAUACAUGUUUUGGACAAACGUUUACACAAAUGCCAAACUGGACCCUCUGUGAGUCCUGAGGAUUGGCCAAGUGAACGUGAACUCUGAGAGAACAGAAAUAUGAAAAUUGUUACCAGCCAUCCAUUUGCAAAACACUGAUUCUGGAGAAAUUAAAUACAGGACAUUUUUGUGGACAACAGAGGUAGAUUCCAUUGGUUAUACGUAGGAAGGGAUCUUAAGAAAUGGCUUGCAAGGAGUUUAAGAACACCCAAUUCAUCCAGGGCCCAUGGCUCCAUUAACUGUGCAGCUUUUGAUGACUGUACUUUCUUAUGACCUGGAAACUGUAUCCAAAAACAUUACUGACAUCAUUCUGCAGAACCCUCAACAAUUUAGAUCAGGAUUUUUGACAAGAGAAAAAUGUGCAGUUCAUACAGAUGAGCUGUCAGCCACAGGAUACGCAGUUAAUUAAAAAAAAAAUGAACAACAACAAUUACUAACUUUAGAGGGAGUCAGAAUUCAAACCAGUAGGUCUGCAAGAUGGGCAAGAAAUUACAAGCAACCAUUCUAUACUGGUUUGUAAAAGCCUGGUAUGGUGUCCACUUUCCAGUAAGAAAGGCAGGUCCAAAUGCUCCUGGUUUAACCCAAAGCCCCAGACACGUCAAUUACCCAACAAGUGGGAAGGAGAAGCAUGUCAGUAAUUUGAGCUAUUUUUCACAUCUUUGUUUU
Long non-coding RNA from Zonotrichia leucophrys gambelii, 2729 nucleotides. RefSeq lists it as uncharacterized. The transcript is spliced from 3 exons. Lineage: Eukaryota; Metazoa; Chordata; Aves; Passeriformes; Passerellidae. The record is from RefSeq and is a predicted model, not a curated record.